UUGGGUUGGGGGAGAUGAUGCAGGAAAAUCUCUGAUCUUCAAAGCAACUUUCAGGACAGUGGGACUUCAUAGUGAGAUCCUUCAGAGGGGUCAGGGGAGAGGUAGUGAGCCUAGCACAUGAGUGCAGGCAAGUGGGAGGGAGGCUGUUGGUGCUCCUCAGAGUGCUCCUCCCAGGAUUGUUCCCUCACACUGUGGACUUUAAUCUACCAAGUCUGGGCCAUCUGCACCACCACCCCACCUCCACAAUUUCAGGCUUGUAUAGGGUAGAGAAACUUCCAUCUCCUGCAUCCCAAGUACCUAGAAUAGUGCCAGCCGGAAGUGCAGAAUGGGAGUGUGCAGACGUGGUAAAGACAUUUUAGAUGUCUCAAAAGGGCAGGAGAGUCUUAGUGGCUCAGUGCUCCACCCCCAUGGCUGCUCCUCUCGACAAGCAGCAGCUGUGGGGUCAGUUAACUCAUCUGAUCUAUUGACGUGCAGCCAUUGGAGCCCUUCCUGGGGGACAGAAUAGGUGGAGACUCAGAGCUGGGGCUGGGAGUACAGCCAGGGUACUGGAUGGCAUUGUCUCUUUGACCUCCACCAAGGUCAUUUGGUGAUUUUGCUGUUACCAUUUCCUUUUUAUUGUGAGACAGUUUUGCUAUGUUGAACAGGCCUGCUUCACACUUGAAAGAGAUCUUCCUGCCUCUGCCUCCUGUAGGAUUGAAGGUGUACACCACAAUACCCAGCUUAUGUUUAAAAUAUUUUAAUGUGUCACCCCCAUAACAUGGGCCACUGGUGCACACGUGGGCAUACCUUGCCACGCGGGUCAUUAUUGUAGCUCAUGGUUCAGAGCUAGGUAAGAAUGUUACUUAGUUUUCUACCUCAUUUGACAUUCUGGGUUUUUGUUGUUAUUGUUGUUUUAUUCUUUGAGAUAGGGUUUCUCUAUGUAGCCUUGGGUGGCUGACUGGCCUGAAACUCAGAGAUCUCCUGCCUCUGCUUCCCAAGUACUGGGAUAAAGGUGCACCACCAUGCCCAACCCUGGGGGUUGUAUACUUUUGUUUGUAUUUUGAGACAGAUUUGUAGCCAGUGCUGUGCUGGAACUCACCAUGUAGCAUUGUCUAGUCCCAAACUUAAUUCAGUCUUCCUAAAUACUGGAAUUAAGGUGUGAGCAACCACAUCUAGGCCACCUACUUUUUAUCAUCCAUCUCAGGUGUCUUGUACCAUUUGGAUUUCUUUCUUUAGGUGAGGAAGUGGUGUUUGGGACAGAGUUUCUCUGUGUAGCUCUGGCUGUCCUGGAUCCCACACUGUAGACCAACCAGGCUGGCCUGGAACUCAGAAAUUCGCCUGCCUCUGCCUCCUAAGUACUGAGAUUAAAGGCGUGCACCACCACCUCCCAGCUACCAUUUGGAUCUUAAUCUUUAAAAAGUGGUAAGCCUGGACCUUGGGCAGCAUGAAGGAGCCAGUACUUCUUCACAUCCCAGGCUAUGAUCCUCUUCCAUGGGAAAGCCUGAUCUGUCCCAAGGGCUAAACUUGAGCUGUGGACUAGACCCCAACAAUCUAUGGCCAAGGAAACAUGCCACACUGGGGUGUUGUUUUCCCCCGGGCACUGACUGUGGUUGGCUGUGGGCCGUCUUAAUGUCAGCUGUGGUUAAGCUGACAUUGCAAACCCAGAGCUCCUUACUUAUUUUCCUAGAACCCUGGGUACUCAUUUUGUGACUCCUGGUUGUUGAUAAGUUGGGGGCUUUGGGGGGGGGUCUCAAUGAGGAACAAAUAAUGCUGGAAAGAUUGCUCAGCUGUUAAGAGCAUUUGCUGCUGCUUCAGGGGACCCGAGUUCCUAGCACUCACAUCAGGCAGCCUCAACUAUAUCUCCAUCCAAGCAGUCCAGGGCCGCCUUCUGGCCUCUGCGAGCACUUGCACAGAUGGUACACAGACACACAUAAAAUAUAUUUUAAAAAGAAACAAGGGGGCUGGAGAGAUGGCUCAGUAGUUAAGCACACUGACUGCUCUUCCAGAGUACCCAGGUUCAAUUCCCAGCACCCACAUGGCAGCUCAUGACUGUCUGUGACUCCAGUUCCAGGGACCCAACACCCAUGACAAAACAACAGUGCACAUAUAUACAUACAUACAAACAUACAUACAUACAUGAUAGAUGUAAGUAAAUGAGAAGCAAGUACUACUGUGGCUCUUGCCCUGACUGGCCUUGUACAUAAUCCUGCUCUAGCCACAUCUGGCUGUCUGAGGGAUGAGCCAUCAACCCAUCCUGAGAUCUUCUCCAGCUCCUGUCACCUUUAGCGCCAGACCCUCAGCAUUGUCCAGGGACUCAGGAAGCCGGACAGCUCCUGCUCUUCCCAGUAGACAUCUACUUCCUGAACUACCUGAGACUCUUCUGUCUCAAGAGCUUUAAGUAAACAAGACUCAAGUAGUGAAGGGGUUGCAUUACAAAUGGAAUGUCGCUAAUGAACUGAAGCACGGGGACUCUGCUGAAGAAGCGAAGUCAUGUCAUCCUUGACUAGAGGCCAGAGAAAGGCAGCGCCUGGUCCCUCCUUUCUGCGUCCAGGACAAAGGAAGAGGUGAGGCCUCUGGCUCAGGCAGGUGGGCCCUGUCAGGCCAGACUUCACAACUCCAGGUCUGGAUGGGAUGAACAGCUAUUAUGUCUGAACAUCUGGUCCAUCCGAGGCCCCUCCGUAUGCACAGGGCUGGUGACUGGUCAGAGGCGUUUUUGAGAACUAGACUUUGCAUUCAAUGGAAUGGACUUUGUUUUGGAAGAACCUUGGCAUGGUGAACACACUGCUUGUCAGCACCAGCAUGAAGAAGUGACCAAGGACACAGGCUAAAGAGAACAGUGAGCCAGGACCAGAGUUCACGGGAGCUGGUCCACGUUUGCUGGUAUAGGCAUGGUAGAAUAUGCAAAAUGGAGCCCAGCGUGAAUUAGACACAAAGCCACCAAACAGCCUGACACCGUCAGACCAACCUGGUGAGUCAUCUAAGUGUGGCUAGGCCUCGGGGCCACCCAGAGCCAGGUUGGCCUUCAUUCCACCCGCAUUCCAACCCCAAUGACCCACAGGCUGGCCUGCUCUGCAGUGGAGCUGCUGUAGGAGCGUUGGACCACAGUCCCAGGUGAUCUCUUUCCUAGGAGUGAUUUAGGCACCACACAAAUUUCCAAAAGGACCUAGUGACUAGGUGGUACUAACCCAGCAGCCCUGCCUGCCAUGUUCAGGGUGGCCUUGUACUCACAUCCCAAGGUGGCUGCUUAAAUGUCAAUCUUACCACCUAGCCAAGCUAAGAACCAAAGCUUUGUGGCUAUCAGGGAACUGACCAUAAGCCAUCAGCACUUAGAGCCCUGGCUGGCCUGGAACUGGCUCUAUAGACCAGGCUGGCCUCAAACUCAGAUCCACCUGCCACCUCUGCCUCCCUAGUGCUGUGGCUAAGCGUGUGUACCACCACACCCAGCUACUGUUGAGCUUUUAAGAGGGGACAGUAUCUGACAAGGUGUGGAAGUCAUGACAUCUGAACCCCAGCCAAAGCCCUUGCUCUGUGUCCUCAGCAAAGCAGAGGACGGUGGGAAAGUGAGGCUAGAAGUUGCCUGACUCAGACGUGGGUCCCAGCCUACUGGUAAAAAGCCUUGCUUCUUAGGCUGUCACCCACUCAUAGGGUGGGCUUCCCUUUUUGCUAGUGGAAGAAAGAUUUAACCUGAACCCUUAUGAGUACUGUGUGUAGCUGCCUCAGGCAGCUGAGAGGCUUGUUAAGUAGCAGGCUGGGUCAGAAUAAGUGCAGUGUAAGGAGUCCUGCGGGCAAUUGCAGCCUUCUAAGUUACUAUUGGGAGUAGCAGGACCCACCCCUGAGCAGUCCUGAAAGCCCUAAAAGUUGAGAAGCAGGGGAAGUAAGCCCAUGACUAGACUUCACUGAGCCCCACUUGACCUAGAGCCUCAGUUUCCCCAUCAGGGGAGGAUGGCAGUGGAUUCCUUCCUGCCGCUGUUUUAAAGCACUCCCACCAACUGUGACACAUUAAAUUCUUAAAAAUAGGAGAAGUAAAAAAGAAAUAUUCCCAAUUAACUGGGGCAGGGCUGGGGCUGUAGUUCAGUCAGCAGAGCACGAACUAGUCCAAAGCCCUUUGUUGACUCCUAAACACUGCACUUCAAAAGCAGGGUGUGCUUGCCCACAUCCAUAAUCCCAGCCACUGGUCAGUGGAGGCAGGAGGAUCAAAAGUUCACUUGUCCUCAGCCACAUAGAGAGGGCUGGGGAUGUAGCCCAGUGGUAGAGCACUUAUCUAGCAUGUGCAAAGCCCUGAGUUUGACCCUCAGCAGGGCAAAAAUAUUGCCUUAUAUAAGCAAUACAUGUUCACUGGAGGAAAUUUGGAAAAGAAGUAUAAAGAAGGAAGUCACCUGUUACCCCACCACCCACAGCCGACGACUGUUCUGGGGGUUUUUCCAUACAUAAUCUGUGUGGGAUCUCA
Long non-coding RNA from Peromyscus californicus insignis, 4426 nucleotides. RefSeq lists it as uncharacterized. NCBI's taxonomy places the organism in Eukaryota, Metazoa, Chordata, Mammalia, Rodentia, Cricetidae. The transcript is spliced from 2 exons. The record is from RefSeq and is a predicted model, not a curated record.